UGUUCUUCGUAGCAUUUGUUGGAGCUAGAAGCAACUUCAGAGUUUUGUGGGGCUUCUUGGAACAAAUUUGAUUCGCAUAACUCUAGUAGUUGAGCAUUUAACGGGCUUGACAAUUGUUCCUGAAAAAGACAAAGAAAACAGAUUUUCUACGAUGGUUAGUCAUUCGUUGUAAAGGGCCAACUCAAGGUUUGGAUCAAGCUUAAAGCUUUAGUCCUUUUGUACUAAGCAAUAAAAAGAGGGGAACAAAAGGUUCUAGUCAAUUUGUGCUCCAUAUGGCUACAUGAAAGCUAAGUGGACCAACUUAAAACAAAAUUCUAUGGGGAAAAAGGAAAUUUUGAUCCCUCUUUUAAGUUA
Long non-coding RNA from Helianthus annuus (common sunflower), 354 nucleotides. RefSeq lists it as uncharacterized. The transcript is spliced from 2 exons. The record is from RefSeq and is a predicted model, not a curated record. NCBI's taxonomy places the organism in Eukaryota, Viridiplantae, Streptophyta, Magnoliopsida, Asterales, Asteraceae.